AUUGAACGCUGGCGGCGUGCCUAAUACAUGCAAGUAGGACGCAGUUGCGAACGGGUGAGUAACGCGUAGGUAACUACCUAUUAGAGGGGGAUAACUAUUGGAAACGAUAGCUAAUACCGCAUACUCGUAGAUGGCCCUGCGUUGUAUUAGCUAGUAGGUAGGGGAAUGGCCUACCUAGGCACCGAUACAUAGCCGGCCUGAGAGGGUGAGCGGCCAAACUGGGACUGAGACACGGCCCAGACGCCUAACGGAGGCAGCAGUAGGGAAAUGUCGGCAAUGGGGGGAACCCUGACCGAGCAACGCCGCGUGAGUGAAGAAGGUUUUCGGAUCGUAAAGCUCUGUUGAUAAGGAAGCGGUACUUAACCAGAAAGGGACGGCUAACUACGUGCCAGCAGCCGCGGUAAUUC
Molecule: ribosomal RNA, 407 nt
Filed under: uncultured bacterium
Lineage: Bacteria
Description: partial 16S ribosomal RNA
Rfam family: Bacterial small subunit ribosomal RNA
Source: RNAcentral